CUUGCUGGAUGCUGACGAGCGGCGGACGGGUGAGUAAUGCAUAGGAAUCUGCCCGAUAGUGGGGGAUAACCUGGGGAAACCCAGGCUAAUACCGCAUACGUCCUACGGGAGAAAGGGGGCUCCGGCUCCCGCUAUGGGAUGAGCCUAUGUCGGAUUAGCUAGUUGGUGAGGUAACGGCUCACCAAGGCCACGAUCCGUAGCUGGUCUGAGAGGAUGAUCAGCCACAUCGGGACUGAGACACGGCCCGAACUCCUACGGGAGGCAGCAGUGGGGAAUAUUGGACAAUGGGGGAAACCCUGAUCCAGCCAUGCCGCGUGUGUGAAGAAGGCCCUCGGGUUGUAAAGCACUUUCAGCGAGGAAGAACGCCUAGCGGUUAAUACCCGCUAGGAAAGACAUCACUCGCAGAAGAAGCACCGGCUAACUCCGUGCCAGCAGCCGCGGUAAUACGGAGGGUGCAAGCGUUAAUCGGAAUUACUGGGCGUAAAGCGCGCGUAGGUGGCUUGAUAAGCCGGUUGUGAAAGCCCCGGGCUCAACCUGGGAACGGCAUCCGGAACUGUCAAGCUAGAGUGCAGGAGAGGAAGGUAGAAUUCCCGGUGUAGCGGUGAAAUGCGUAGAGAUCGGGGAGGAAUACCAG
Molecule: ribosomal RNA, 634 nt
Filed under: Vreelandella aquamarina
Lineage: Bacteria; Pseudomonadati; Pseudomonadota; Gammaproteobacteria; Oceanospirillales; Halomonadaceae
Description: bacterial SSU rRNA
Rfam family: Bacterial small subunit ribosomal RNA
Source: RNAcentral